RNAcentral lists this ribosomal RNA (253 nucleotides) under uncultured bacterium. RNAcentral describes it as "partial 16S ribosomal RNA". It matches the Rfam family "Bacterial small subunit ribosomal RNA", at positions 524 to 776 of the family's 1533-position model. The record is from RNAcentral.
UACGUAGGGGGCUAGCGUUGUCCGGAUUUAUUGGGCGUAAAGAGCGUGUAGGCGGCCAGGUAGGUCCGGUGUGAAAACUCGAGGCUUAACCUCGAGAUGUCAUCGGAAACCAUCUGGCUAGAGUCCGGAAGAGGAGAGUGGAAUUCCUGGUGUAGCGGUGAAAUGCGCAGAUAUCAGGAAGAACACCAAUGGCGAAGGCAGCUAACUAUUCUGCUCCUGACAUUGAAGCAUGAAAGCGUGGGGAGCAAACCGG